CAAUAGCGUAUAUUAAAGUUGUUGCGGUUAAAAAGCUCGUAGUUGGAUUUCUGCUGAGAACGACCGGUCCGCCCUUUGGGUGUGUAUCUGGCUCUUUCUUGGCAUCUUCUUGGUGAACGUUGCUGCACUUGACUGUGUGGAGCGCUACCCAGGACUUUUACUUUGAGGAAAUUAGAGUGUUUCAAGCAGGCAUACGCCUUGAAUACAUUAGCAUGGAAUAAUAAGAUAGGACCUCGGUUCUAUUUUGUUGGUUUCUAGAGCUGAGGUAAUGAUUAAUAGGGAUAGUUGGGGGCAUUCGUAUUUAACUGUCAGAGGUGAAAUUCUUGGAUUUGUUAAAGACGGACCACUGCGAAAGCAUUUGCCAAGGAUGUUUUCAUUG
This 379-nucleotide ribosomal RNA is filed under the name uncultured eukaryote. Its description in RNAcentral is "partial 18S ribosomal RNA". It matches the Rfam family "Eukaryotic small subunit ribosomal RNA", at positions 592 to 975 of the family's 1831-position model. The record is from RNAcentral.